RNAcentral lists this ribosomal RNA (467 nucleotides) under uncultured bacterium. Its description in RNAcentral is "partial 16S ribosomal RNA". It matches the Rfam family "Bacterial small subunit ribosomal RNA", at positions 29 to 507 of the family's 1533-position model. The record is from RNAcentral.
ACGCACGCUGGCGGCGUGCUUAACACAUGCAAGUCGAACGGAAAGGCCCUGCUUUUGUGGGGUGCUCGAGUGGCGAACGGGUGAGUAACACGUGAGUAACCUGCCCUUGACUUUGGGAUAACUUCAGGAAACUGGGGCUAAUACCGGAUAGGAGCUCCUGCUGCAUGGUGGGGGUUGGAAAGUUUCGGCGGUUGGGGAUGGACUCGCGGCUUAUCAGCUUGUUGGUGGGGUAGUGGCUUGCCAAGGCUUUGACGGGUAGCCGGCCUGAGAGGGUGACCGGCCACAUUGGGACUGAGAUACGGCCCAGACUCAUACGGGAGGCAGCAGUGGGGAAUAUUGCACAAUGGGCGGAAGCCUGAUGCAGCAACGCCGCGUGCGGGAUGACGGCCUUCGGGUUGUAAACCGCUUUCGCCUGUGACGAAGCGUGAGUGACGGUAAUGGGUAAAGAAGCACCGGCUAACUACGUG